Sus scrofa (pig) is the source of this 5186-nucleotide non-coding RNA. The record is from RefSeq and is a predicted model, not a curated record. Lineage: Eukaryota; Metazoa; Chordata; Mammalia; Artiodactyla; Suidae.
GGGAGGCGGGGCCGGGGCGGGUUGUUGUGAGGCGUCUGCGCUACUGCCGGACCGGAGCGGUUAUGGCGGCUCCAUAUUAACACCCUCCUCCUCCGCCGCUGCCGCCGCGGCCGUCUCCUCCUCCUCCUUUCCCUCCCGCCCGCGCUCGUGAGCCGUCUCCCCCUUCACCCUGACGCCAACCUCUUCCCCUCACCUUUCCCCCUCCCCUCUUCUACCAUGCCCGGCAUGAUGGAGAAAGGGCCUGAGUUACUGGGGAAGAACCGAUCGGCCAACGGCAGCGCCAAGAGCCCGGCGGGCGGCGGUGGCAGUGGCGCCUCGUCCACCAACGGCGGGCUGCACUUCUCGGAGCCCGAGAGCGGCUGCAGCAGCGACGACGAGCACGAUGUUGGGAUGAGAGUCGGAGCCGAAUACCAAGCUCGGAUCCCUGAAUUUGAUCCAGGUGCUACGAAGUACACAGAUAAAGACAAUGGAGGAAUGCUUGUAUGGUCUCCGUAUCACAGUAUCCCAGAUGCCAAAUGUAAGUUUUUUUGGAAGUUGAAUGUUUAUGUCAAUAGGGAUCUCAACCAAUUCAAAAAAAUGCACCUUAUGUUUGUUUUUGAAUCUCUUAGAUUCUCAUAAGAAAUCAGUUUGUCUAUGUUUCGUUUUGUUUUUUGAUGGAGAUUGUCAUGUUAGAAUGUUUUUCCUUUUGAAAGAUAGUGGGUUGAUCAUUCCAAUUUGUGUCAGGCCCAGGAAGACUGAGAAAACCUAGGAUCUGAUGGCAUUGCUGCUUAAAUCCUCAAGCAGGGGAGGGAGUUACUAUGUAGACAUCUGCACAGGCUUUUCCUCAGUAUAUGAAGCUCUAAAGAAAUGCCUUCAAACUUCCAAGAGCCCACUAUCAUUACCAUUUUAAAGAGGAAAGGGGAAAGAACUGACUUCAGCAGCCAUCCAUCAGGUCAUCUUUGUGCUCUCCAUUUCUGGACGGAGACCUUCUGGAUCAUUGACCAUGCACUUCUUGAAUCAUGGUGUGGCUUUAGACUUCAAUGUGAUGUAGCGGACCUGAUCCUUUGCGGCACAUCAGAUAUAGGAAACGUGCAGUGGAUGAAUAUAUUGCAAUUGCAAAGGAGAAACAUGGCUACAAUGUGGAACAGGCACUUGGCAUGUUGUUCUGGCAUAAACAUAACAUUGAGAAGUCCCUUGCUGAUCUCCCUAAUUUCACUCCCUUUCCGGAUGAGUGGACAGUGGAAGAUAAAGUCCUCUUUGAACAAGCCUUUAGUUUUCAUGGGAAGAGCUUUCACAGGAUUCAGCAAAUGCUUCCAGAUAAGACAAUUGCUAGCCUUGUAAAAUAUUACUAUUCCUGGAAAAAAACUCGAUCUAGAACAAGCUUGAUGGAUCGUCAGGCUCGUAAACUAGCCAAUAGACAUAAUCAGGGUGACAGUGAUGAUGAUGUGGAAGAAACACACCCAAUGGAUGGAAACGAUAGUGAUUAUGAUCCCAAAAAAGAAGCCAAGAAGGAGGGUAAUGCUGAUCAACCUGUCCAAACUAGCAAGAUCGGACUGGGGAGGAGAGAGUAUCAGAGUUUACAGCACCGCCAUCAUUCUCAGCGGUCUAAGUGCCGUCCCCCCAAGGGCAUGUAUUUAACCCAGGAAGACGUGGUAGCUGUUUCCUGUAGUCCCAGUGCGGCCAACACCAUCCUGAGGCAACUGGACAUGGAGUUGAUCUCUUUAAAACGUCAGGUUCAGAAUGCUAAGCAAGUGAACAGUGCGCUUAAACAGAAAAUGGAAGGUGGAAUUGAGGAGUUCAAACCUCCCGAGUCAAAUCAGAAAAUUAAUGCCCGUUGGACCACAGAGGAGCAGCUUCUAGCAGUGCAAGGUGACUGGCUACUAGGGAAAUAAAUGAAUGUGGAAUUGAGGAUGGAACAAAGAAUUGAAUGCUUUACAAUAAAUGGACUGUAUUUGAGAGUUCAAGAGAGGAUUGGAGAGAAUAACUGAGUAUGUAAAAAAUGGUGUCCGCAAAUAUGGUAAAGAUUUUCAAGCUAUUGCAGAUGUAAUUGGCAACAAGACUGUUGGCCAAGUGAAGAACUUCUUUGUAAACUACAGGCGUCGGUUUAACUUAGAGGAGGUAUUGCAGGAGUGGGAAGCAGAACAAGGAACCCAGGCUUCUAAUGGUGAUGCUUCUACUUUAGGGGAGGAGACAAAAAGUGCUUCUAAUGUGCCAUCAGGGAAGAGCACUGAUGAAGAAGAGGAGGCACAGACCCCACAGGCUCCUCGGACUCUGGGUCCAUCACCUCCUGCCCCAUCAUCCACUCCAACACCAACAGCCCCCAUUGCCACUCUGAACCAGCCUCCACCACUUCUUCGUCCAACACUGCCUGCUGCCCCUGCUCUUCACCGGCAGCCUCCUCCACUCCAGCAGCAGGCCCGGUUCAUCCAGCCCCGGCCAACUUUAAAUCAGCCUCCACCACCUCUCAUUCGCCCUGCUAAUUCAAUGCCACCCCGUCUAAACCCAAGACCAGUGUUGUCCACGGUUGGUGGUCAACAGCCGCCGUCACUGAUCGGAAUUCAGACAGAUUCACAGUCCUCCUCACUGCACUAAAAUUAAAGUGGACAGAGCUGCAGUGACUUUGUACCCCAUCAUUAUACCAGUGCUCAUCUGACUGAUGCAAAAGAGGAAAGCAUAAUCCUUCCUAGAUACUGAGGCUGCAAACUAGUUCUGUGGCAGGGGGCUAGCGUAAGGGGAUGUCUAGGAAAUGUUUUAGCUCACGCACUGAAAUGUUAUACAACAGAAAGCCUAGGGUUAGCCUCCUUUCUAGAGUAUACAGUCAGUGACAUGAUUUCAUUAAAGGAGAAAAAGGAUUAAGUAUUCUCUCUACCAAGGGUUUUUGGUUUUGUCUUUACUGUAUUUAUUUUAUUGAGGAUCUUUAUAUUCCUGCCUCUCCAUAGUCAAGGCUCUUAGUACAGGAAUAUUGACUUAGGAAUUGUGAAACUCCUUAAGUUUUGUAAGUUAAGGAUGUUGAACUUUUUCUCUUUUUUCUUUAAUUUAAUUUUUAACAUUUUCCUAUGUUAGGAGAGCAAGAAUAAAUAGCCUGCAUUUCAGAUUUUGACAUAUGUUCAUUUAAUGCAUAUUUAAGAAAUUAUAGUUGCAUAUCCCUUUUUCCAAAAAAUCUUGCUUUUUUUUCUAAAGGAAUUAAAAUAUAUUCCUUUAAAAGAAAGCAAUUUAAUCAAUUGCAAAGCAAUUAUAUGAAACCACAAAGAAUGUACUGAACCUUCUAACCCUUUAACAUACAGUUUAGGGUCCUAGUGCAGAGUCCUUGCUUAAAGGUCAUUGACUUGCCAUCUGUCAGGAAUAAGAGGAUCAGAAAAAUAAUUUUACAUAUAAAUGAGGACUUAACUUGUUGAAGUACAAUGUCUUUAAGUUCCUUAAAAACAGUAAUUUUGGUUUUUUUAAUGUUUCUAAAGCUAUCUGCUUUUAACUAGUAGUUGCUACAUUUGGGGGCUUAGAAGAGAAUUAUAUUUUGUUGGUUAUGUGGAGAUAGUGAUUAUGGAAGCAUUUAUUUACAAUACCCUUUUUGUGUUUAGGUUCUGAACUUUCAAUUGCCCUCAUCCUUAUUAAUAAUGGUCUGCAUUUAAUAUAAAGGAUGUUUUCUGGAUAAAUCUCUAUUGUAUUAUUUGGAUACGUUUGUGUAUUCCUUGCAGCCGACCUGUACUCAUGGGUUUGGUUUAGGGUUAAAUCAUCAACAUUAUUUCAAAAAAUAAAUGGAAGAAUUUGUUCUGUACUAUCUAAAGAUGUAUCAGUAUAUUGUCAGAGUUGUGCUGUUAAAAUGCCAAGACCCCCUUUUUAUAAAGAAACAAAAAAUAUUUCAAGUCUUUUAGUUUAACACAUAAUCAUUAAGCACCUAAAAGAAUAUUUUACAAGCAAUAGUAUUUCAACAGUGUAUUGCUAAUAUUUUUGAUACAAUGAUUUCAUAUUGGAAUCAUGACCUGUGCAAAGACAGAUCACUUUGAUUGCUAUACUAGUGGAACUUAAGCUAAAUGUUUGCACAUUCACAUUCUCCUCACAUUUAGAACUCCUUCACGAAAUGGUCAGCAUCUCAGGCCCUAAUUUAUAUUUUGAGAUGUCCUAUAUUCCCCAGAUAUUGGGAAAAAUAGUCCCUCCUUUUGGUUCUAAAGCAUUAAAGAGCUGCUAUAGACCUAAAUCCCUUGAUUGGUUUUAACUUAGAAGUUUAGCUCAUGUCUUUCUAUUUCGGACCUUAAUUAAGUUCUGGCGUAAUCUAAAGCUUUUUCCAAGAUGUGUUUUGUCUCACUGGAUCAUCUUAACGACUUAAAAGUCUUGAUAUUCUAGAAUUUGUACUCAUUUUUACUUUAAAAGCCACGGGGGACAGUUCUAUAUCUUAAAGGAAAAUAUCUAAAGCGUUUUAAAGUAUUGAGAUUGUCUUGCCUAUGUGCUUACUCUACAGCUUUGAUUGUCUUGUCUCUUGUCAGUAGACCUUCAGUAUACAGUAGGUGGGAUAUGUGAGGCAAGUUGGUCAGAACCAGCAUCUGUCCAGCUGCUGUAAGUAUGUUGUGAUUCAUUUACAAUCUGUUCUAUCCCAGCCGUGGGCAGAGGUGCUGUAUCUGAGGGAUGUGCUAUAAUUUGAUUUACGUACACUAGAGCACACAGUAGAAAAAUCUUAGCUUCAUUAGUAAUAUGACACAUGUAUAUAGUGAGAUGUCCUUAUUGUGUGCUUUGCAUAUUUUGUAAAUAUUUUGCACGUCAUUAUUUUUCUUUUUUGUUUAAGCAGUGUUUGGCCUGGAAGAGUGAUAUGCUUGCUGCUUAAUCAAAGGAUUAAAGAGUUAAAGAUGUCUAUGUCUUCUAUUUUCACAUAAUUUCAUGUUGUAUGAAAAAUUUAGGACCUCUUCACUGUGAAAUUCUAAAUACUGAUUUUUAUAAAAAAAAGAAAAGCAAAACCUAAAAACCUUUUAAUGGCCAUUUCAUUAAUUUCAAGUUUUAUCAUUUUUAAAAAUCUACACCCAAGUAUUUUUUUCAUUAUAUAAGCUAAAAGUAAAUCACACUUUUGAUACACCUGGUAGUAUUAAUGGAAAAAAAAUUUUCUAUAUGAUUUAAUUCCAGUGUGAUAUGGAUGUAGAUAAGGAUAGGUUAUGAUAAAAGCUUUUUCUUAAUAGUCUUACGGUUGAGUAAAAUAUAAUGUAAAAUAAACUUGAAAGAAUGUC